UUCCAAAAAAGUGCACAAAAUUUAGGGCGAAAUUAUUAAAAUGAAAAGAUAUGUUGAGUAAGAUAAAGACCCUUCACCGUACGUACAUAUGAUAUGGGUAUCUCGCCACCGACACAGCUACAAGGCAAUUAAGCCCGUGCUUUACAAACUUAAAAAAGCCCACACAAAUGCGCAUUUUAAUGCACUGGGUUUUGUUCUGUGUGUGUGUGUGUGUGUGUGUGUGUGUGUUUUAUCUUUCUUUCUUUUUAAAACGGUUAAAUUUAGCUACAAUUACCAUAGCAAUCAUUAUUAUACUCUAUCAAUAAGUAAUAUUCAAUGCUGAUUAGUAAUUAAAAAUGUUAGUUAGUUGCCACCGAGUGCAGAUGACAAAAAGAACUGGUAAUUUGACUUGAAAUAUUUUUAGAAUUUGUAAACUCACAACAAUACAUCUGAAUUAUUAUAAAAACCUGACAAAAAAUUGGUCAAAAAGUUUACAUUUUGAACUUCUUUCUUUUUUUCUUUUUUUUUUUUUUGUUUGCUGCGUUUCAACCAAUGGAUGAAACCUGGAUCAGUUAUUGUCCAGUCAAAUUUUGAGUAAACCCUACAUAGGAGGAUCGAAGAAACAGAACUAAACCUAAGAAAAAGGUUUCAGCAUAGUGUGGUAUGAUUAAGCCAACCAUUAAUUAGGUGAUGAUAUCUUCUAUCAUGAUCAUCUACCCCCCAAGAAAACGAAAUAAUAAAGUAGGAUAGCCUAGCCUACUAUCGUUUUCUCUCAAGAACAAUUCGAUCCAUUUGUUCCACUAAUGUUAAUACGAUGCAGAAAAAGAAAAAGAACACACAAAUUAAUUUCCUAAAUUUGAUCUGAUAUGAACAACUAGGUUUGGAUGAUCGGCUAAGAGUCACCAAAUUUGUCCUUUUGCUAGUAGAAUUAAAAAUUGAGCCGUCAAUGAUGAGAACUGAUGAUUAAAAUUCGCGAAUUUUUUAGUGAUCAGCAAUAUUGAGAAGAGAAUUAUUAAAAAGCAGUGAUCCGAUCUGAGAUGUGAGCUGAUCGAUAGAAUUGAGAAGAGAAAGAAAAGAGAGAGAAUUUAUGCAGAGCAGAGGGAGAUGCAGUGGAUAGCAGUAGUAGUGUAGCGGUGAGUGACUGACCUCUCCUGGUGGGCUUGGGCUUGGGCUUGCGCUUGACGAGGGGCGGCGGCUUGCGGUCGGCGGGAGCGACGGCGGCGCCGGGCGGGAGGGCCUGGUCGGGGGGGAAGAGGACGGCGUCGAUGCCCUGGACGGAGAUCCUGCCGUCGGUGUAGAUAUCGGGAUCGAACAAGUAGGCGGAGCCCUCGGCCUGGCCGAACUUGACGGAGCCGUCGGCCUCGCGGGCGACGACCUUGUGCGGGAGGCGCAGGGUGUCGUAGCGCACCUUGCCGAACCGGCGCACGGCAUUGUACAUGCUCUCCUCGGUCUGGUACUCGGGGAUGAGGUGGUAGUACACGAUCUGCUCGGGCGCGCCGGGCUCGCUCAGCUGGUCGGUGGUGAGGCGCGCCAUGGCCUCGUCGUUGGGGGCGAGCACGGUGAGGACGUAGCCCUCGGAGACGAGGCGGCCCAUCUCGGUGGCGAGGGAGGUGAGGUUGACGAGGAUGUCGGCGAGCUCGUUGUAGCCGCCGUAGAGGAGGAGGGUCUGGAUGAAGUCCUUCACCUGGCUCUCGCCGUCGAACCAGUGCUUGCCGGAGCCGGGGCCGGGGGCGGGGGCGGGGGCGAGCGAGGGGCCGGGGGCCAUGGCGUCGAAGAUGGGGAGGGCCGGGGGGGAGCCGGGGGGGACGGGGGGAGCGGGCUUCUUCAGGCGGUGGGUGACGCAGUGGAAGAGGAUUAGGGUUUGGAGGGAGCGCAGGUUGCGGGGCUCGAGGAGGAAGCGCUUGAACUCGGGGUCGAGGUCGCGGUCGAGGGCGUCGUUGCGGGGGGCGAAGACGGUGAGGUUGUGGCGCCCCACCGCGUCCUCUAGGGUUUGCAACAGGAGGGCCUUCUCCACCAGCUCCGCGAGCUCCGUGUAGUGGGAGUCGAGGAGCGCCACGAGCACGGAGUUGGAGUUGAUCCCAACCCCCGAUCCUCCUCCUCCGGACGACGACGACGACGACGACGGGGACGAAGAAGACGACGAGGAGGACGCUCUGAUUAACUCCGCCGCGGAUCGGGAUCGCCAUGGGCGACGACGUUCGAGGAGGAAACCCUAAACGAUGCCCCUUCUACAAUCUCUCUCUCUCUCUCUCUCUCUCUCUCUCUUCUCCCCCACUCCUACUCUAUUCUCUUCGCUUUUAGUUCAUUUGUCCUUUUCGUUGGUUUUAUUUUUAUUUUCCCCCUCCUCUUUUUGCGAAUUUUCUUUUUAUUAUUUUCCUUUCUCUCGAGGGAAAGAGAAGAGGAGGGGAAAACACGUGGCGAUUGGUGAUGCGUAAAAGACAUGUUGUGUUCCGGGCCCCACUUGCUCGUCCUCGUGAGUUAACAAGAAGCAGGCUCCGAAAUGACGCUUUUGCCCUCACGUACUGGGUUCAGGUGAAGAGCAUGUGCGAUGGGUAGAGUAGUAAUUUGAGUUCCUCCGUGUAAUUUCGCGGUAUUGGGUAUUAGGUGGGGGAUUUAUCGCGGUUUAUUAUUUGACAAAAAUGCCCUUCGUCGUGCGGACGAAGUUGCGAGUUGAGGGGAUGGGCAGUUUAGACAUUUUAGAGACGACCGACGCAGCGAUAGGAAAAUUAUGCGGGGGGCUUAUGGGGACGGAAGCUGAGCUGUCAUUGUUGCCUCUUAGCUUCGUUUUCAAUGUACGCAACCUUUUCAUUGCAAUUAUUUUUUUUUGUUUUGUUUUUGUAGUAUUUAUUGCUUGGUUUUUUUUUUUUUUUUUUUUGAGGAAUUGUAUUUGUCUAAUGAUACUUUAAAUUUUACAUUAAUUUUUGUAAUAUUAACAUGUUAACAAUAUUAUAUAAUGCAUUUAAUACAAAUGUGAAACAAAAACAAAAACAAAAUUCACUGCAACAUGAAAAAAAAAAAAGCAAUUUAGAGGACUUAACAAUACCAUAGUUUAAGGUAUUAAACUAUGAUAUAAGAUAAUUAGAAAAUAAAAAUAUUUCACAAUCUCACAACCACUUCUCUAUGGGUUGUUGACAUGAAAUCACAUGUGCAAGUCAAAUGAAAUUUCUUUAAAGAAACAUUAUAGAUUACUCCUAACAGUACCUUUUUUUUUUUUUUUUUUUUUUGAUAAAUUGUUUCGACCACUGAUAAUAUUAAAGCAAUUAAAAAGAGUUCGGGAGCAGCAUCAGCGUGACAUAAAUAAAAUAAAAUAAAAUAAAAUAAAAUAAUGGAGGGGAGAUGGGAGGGCGAUGUCUCGCCUGCCGAGAAAAUGCUCAGCUCGUCGCAGCGUCGGUGGUGCUUGUGUUGUCGAAAAUAUUCACCUUAUUACAUACGAAUAUAUUUUUCUUAUUCAAUCUUUAUUGUUAUGUUCUUUAUUAUGGUAUUUAUGCGUUGUUUUGGACCACUAUUUAACAUUUAUUGUUAUACGAUUGCAGCCCAGUAACGUGAAGAUGCAUAUGAAUUGAACACAAGCAUAUUCAUUCUUCGCCGUGCUCUAUUUAUAUAUAUAUAUAUAUAUAUAUAUAUAUAGAGAGAGAGAGAGAGAGAGAGAGAGAGAUGAGCUAGAAUAGUCUCAAAAGCACCAUAAAAGUGUUGCUUUUGAGUUUUUAGCCAUUGAAUGGAGAGAUGUGAGAUUGAGAUGAUAGUGGUAGGUAGGGAUGCAAACGGGGUGGAUCCGGGGGCGGGAGAGUUCCCCCACCUCCCGCUCCAUUUCUUAUCAGGGCGGGGCAGAUUCGGGGUGGGUUACUUUUUAUUUUAUUUUUGGCUCCCACUUACCGCUCCAUUCGGGGCGGAUCGGGGCGGGAGCCGGAUUUUUGACAGAUCGGGGCGGAUUGAAGGAAGAAAUGAGUCUCCCACCUCCCGCUCCAUUUACUUGGCGGAUCGGGGCGGAUUCGGGGCGGGUUAUAUUUUUUUAUAUUUUUUGUUCCCACUUACCACCCCAUUCGGGACGGAUCGGGGCGGAGCUCCACCAACCCGGAUCCAUUUGCAUCCCUAGGUAGGUGAUGGUAGGUGGUGGUAGGUGGAAUAGUGUUUAAUCCAAAGGCUAUUAGUAAUUAAGAAGUAGAUCCAAGGACUAAAAACUUAGGAACACCAAGGGGUUGGUCUUUCUAAAAAUAUUCUAGCUCAAUUAUAUAUAUAUAUUUAGCAAGACUUCUGUACUAUUAGAAGUACAGCAGUCUUUAUGCUCCUAACUUUCUAACCAACCAUCAAAUUUGAUGGGGGGUUAGAAUGAAAGGGGCAAGAGAUAUUGGAGAGAAGAAAAAUUCAAGGAGGAGGAAAAUUGAAACACCCAAUUUCUCUCCAAUAUCUCUUGCCCCUCUCAUUCUAACCACCCAUUGAACUUGAUGGGUGGUUAGAAAGUUAGGAGUAUAAGAACUGCUAUACUCCUAAUUGCACAGUAGCUCUACUAUAUAUAUAUAAUACAUAUAGAGAGAGAGAGAGUCCGGCUACUAUGCUAUUAAUAGCACGAAGCACUUGGUGCUACCAAGUUUUCCGCCGUUAGAUCUACCCUUUUGAUCAUUUUCACCCAUUAGAUCAUACUAUUCAACCAACCACCCACUCAACCCUAGGGGGCCCACAUCAUCCUAACCGCACAUCUAUUAAUUCAAUGGCUAAAAACUUGGUAGCAUCAAUGACUUGUGCUAUUAAUAGCAUAUUAGCCUAGUUCUAUAUAUAUAUAUAUAUAUAUAUAUAUAUAUAUAUAUAUAUAUAAGGUGAAUUUUUAUUAGCUUAUUUUAAAGAGCAAUUAUCAUUUUUCUUAUUUAAAACUUGUUGCCAGAGAAAACCAACUACAUGUGCACCGACAGAAAAAUGCAACAAGUAAAUAUGAUGUGAGGCAGUGGCCUUGCUUAGAGGUACAGCAAAGCUUAUUUCAGCAGUCCAAAUCAAGAGAUGGUACAGUCAAAUUAAACAAUUUAUUGAACCCAGGAUUUAUAAAAAGGAAUUGAAAUUUUAGUUUGAUAUGUUGGGCCCUCCUUAAACAUCUUUAACUUAUCUCUUGGUUUUGAAAUGGAAAAAGCUGGUUAGGAAACAAAACACCUAGUUUCAAAAAACAAAUAGAAAGGGACAAAAAGAGACAUUAAAAAAUGCACUCAAUUGGCAAGAUAUGGGCCCUCCAAGGGAGAACAUUAAAAAAAGAAACCAACAAAAUGAUACCCUUCUCCAAGAGAUGCUAAUAAAAGUACUAUAACCAUGCAAUGUACCAUUUUGCAUUUCCACUGUGUAUAGAGAUAAGACCCAACUAGAAGAGACACUGACCAUCAGGGACCAUGUAAUAAAAGUUGGACGUGCUGGAAAAUGAUCUUACCAGCAAAUCAAUAAGCAGCAAAGUCAAUAUUCUUGAAAUCAAAAUCAUGUUUCAUGCUUUUACCCGAUAAAUUCAGCGCAACACAGACUAUUGUUGCAGAAGGUCGAGAAUUAAAAUUAAAAAACAAAAAAGCAACAUUCAAGGUGCUGCCAUUCAUCUACAUCAAAUAAUUCUAUGAUCUGUAGUAGGAUAAUAUUUGUGUUAUUAGUUCCAUAAGUUAUUCUAUAAAAGUCAUAGGUAAUAUCUUAGUAAGCAUUAUAUAUGCCACGUGCUACUUACAAACAUAUUUAUCAGUCCAUAAUCCAUAGGUUACAAAAACAAACAAAGAAUCUUUUAAGAAAGCUCGUUAUAACUUAUCCAGCAGCCAGAUGCACCUCCGAGGCAUCCACGGUGAAGCAUUUAUGUAUAUUCGACAUUAACUGCUGAAGAUUAUGCCCUGAAAUAUUGCAAACAUAAUGGCGUACUUUGAUUAAUAGCUGGAUAUUUUCUAAUAUACAGUACAACAGAUGGAGAGAGCACAAAAAAAAUAGAAAAGGAAAAGUAAAAUCAUCAGCAUGUAUUCUGCAGUAAACUUGAUCAAAAGAUAAUAAAGAACUACAAAUGAAAUAAUAAGCAUCAAGAUCUAAGUGUUAUGUAAAUAAUUUAGCACAAAGCAUGUUGAAAGCACUUUAAUCAACAAUUCGUCAUUGCAAUGCCAUGAUAUAUAGAUAAUAGCUAGUCUGGUACAACUACUUGGGGCCUGUUAAGAUGCAUGGUUAUCUCAUUCAGUAUAACUCUAUAGUUACUAAAGGUGAUACAAUGGUUUAGUUUAUAGGGCCUAUAAAUCAAUUUUCCUCAAAAUCUAAGAAAUAACCUAAAGCGUGGAACUUACUAUGCUAAAAGGUCGGAACUAUUGAGAUUAAGAGUCUAAAAUCAAAUUACUUGGUUCUAAUCAAACAAGAAAAUCCCCAUAUCGCCCCUAAACAAUUGCCUACAGCAGACAUGGAUAUGACAUACAUUAGUUAUACCUACAAGGCAAACAAAACUCUUAGCAAUAUAUAUGAGUUCACAAGAUGACUGCUCGACAAUCUUAAGUUAGAACAAUACCCCUCACAUCCGAAGAGAAUAGCAACCAAAGCAUAAGUGAUGGACACACUCGUAAUAAAAACUGGGCCCAAUGACUUAUUAUUGCUAGUGGAUCCGCUAGCAAUAAAAAAUGUAACGAAGGGAGUAAGUGACAUCCCAAUAAUUCCACAUCGGAUAAUGUGGGAGAGUGUUAUAUGGGUUUAUAAGUGACGGAAACACUAGUAAUAAUAACUGAAUUUAAGCAUUUUAGGCCGAUGGUUUGUAUCCAACGAAUUAUUAUUGCUAGUGGGGCGAGUCGUUACAGGUCGGGUCGUUACAGUAAACUUCAAGAAUGUCACUGAAUGCAGGAUGACAACUAUGUUGAACAGGUAAAAGACUACCAAAAAAACACACGAAAAAAAAGAAGCAAGAAACAUACAUCAAAGAACCAACUGUGCCUCCUAAACUAAUUCUUAAAAUAAUCAGUCAUGUUAAACAUCUUUUCCCAACAUUAUCUUCCACAUAUCUGACUCAUCCAGAAAACACAUGUAGCAACCAGAACAUGUUCAAGAAGUCUUUUCGUACGUCUUAUAAUGCCUUCUAAUAUUUUAUUCCACGAUGACCGAUUGACAGUAGGAUGCGACAAUUUCUCACAAAUCACAAAGUUACUUAUGCCUUCAACCAAUCCACACCGCUCUCAAGCACCAAAUUGGCAAGUUAAUCAAUGGCAAUUGAUCUAGUCUCAAUCAAAGGUUAAAUGGCAAUGAUUUCCAUCACCUAGCAAAGGAUUUUAGUUAGGUUUGUAAACUAAAGAUCUCCUAGUUGUUGUCUCUCAACAUUAUGACGCAACAAGACAUUCCGUCCAAGCUCAUGUCCACCAUUACAGUUUCCUAACAUGAAGGGGUUCUUUGCAGCAAAACAUUGCUAACAACUUAAGAGAGAUGGCAGAUCAGUUGAGGGGAAAAAACUAGGUAAAAUUUGCAAAUAAAAUUAAGGACUCCCACUCAACAAAUCAGCCAGAUUUCAUAUUUGCAUGUUAACUAAGAAUCAGGUGUCACAACUUGAAUACACCUUAAGACUCAAUGAUUCAAGGGGGCACCUCCACUAUGAUACUCAUCAUAACUUAGAGCAUCAUAGAGAAGUAAAUCCUAAAGUUGUUAGUUUACAAUUUCUGAUUAAACAAGCAGAAACUAAUAUUGUAUACUUAAAACUAAAUAAAACUACAGGAACCAAUACCAGGGGCAUAUGAAGAGCUUUACUGAACACAUACUAGCUUAUUUUGGAGCAGAACUUGCAGCACAAGAAGCAGAUGGAGUAGCAUUGUUUAGAAGAGCAGUGCUAUUUGAUGUAACUCUCUCAUUACUUGCCUCCCUGGCAGAAUGAAUUUGACUGCCUAGCGGAGUAGAAGCCGUAUAUGGUCCAACAUUAUCUCUCGUUUCAAGCCGGUCCAUCAUGCGUGACACAGUAGCAAUUCCUGCAUUGACCUCUCUCCUGACUUCAGAACCAAAGUCAGAUAUAACACUGUUCCGAGAAAACAGUCUGUCUCUCCAUCCUCUUGUACUCUUUGUUAUAGAGUCUUUGUAUCUGAUAGCCGCAAAUUCAUGAUAAGGAAACUUGGAUUAUCAAUUAUUGUUCAUAUGCUUGUACUUUUAAACACAUGAAACUAGAGAUUACCUGAUUGAGACUGCAUUCAGGCGAGACUUUAAAGACUCUGAAAAGGAAUGCAGGUCGGAUGGUCCGGCUCUAUCUUGGCUUACAGGAGAAAAUUGCCCAGCAGAACUCCUGAAGUACAAAAAAUAAAAACGAAACAUAAAUAAGGCACAAAGUCCCAGAUAGGAAAAGCUAAUAGCUAAAUUCCACCUCAAGUCCUUUAACUUGUUUGCAAAUUUAACUUUAGUCCUCGAGCCAAAUGGUUGCCAUGUGUAUAGAGGUAACACCCACAUGGCAGCGACAUUGGACUUCUACUGGUCUCCUAACAGGCAUUGAAUGGACGGACUAUAAUGAAAAAUUUAGAAAGCAGCAUUCUUAAGCUUAAAAAUUGACUAAGAGAGAGAGAGUGGAAAAAAAAAAACAAAAAAAAAACUUAACAGCCUUAGAAACCUACAGGAGCAACUUAUUUGAAAAGAAAGUGCAAGCAUAUAUAGGCACACAUGGACACGAAAAUUACCUGUUACUAGCAAAAGUAGCACUAUUCAUGGAUGGAGAGGCUGCAGCUGGAUCAACUGGAGCAGAGUUUAUUGGCGAAGCUUCAUGUGGUGAACCCUCUUCCACCGCAGCAAAAGAAGCUGAUGGAUUAUCAGCAACUAUAGUGGGGACUGGCUCAUUUUCACUUCGAGCCGAAGAUGCAGAGACUGAACCAACAGAAGGAGCAUUUUGAUGUGCUGAGAAGACAAGGAGUUGUGGGCGACCAUGAACUGCUGAUGAUCUACCACGAUGGCCCUCUCUCCUAGCAGUGUGAGAUGUUCUGCGCAUUGCAGCUGCAGCAGCCAAGUGCUGAAUAAUACGCUCUUCAAAUUCAGCAUCAUCUGCCCCUACCGGUAACUGAAAGGAUAUAUUGGGCGGUGUUCAAUAAGAUUCUAUAUGUAUGUGUACAGUUCAAUAAGAUUCAUUAAUUAUAGAUCUAAUUACAUACAUGCUGCAGUUCAAAAUCACCCAGCACUGGAUGAUGAAUAAUGGUAGCAGUUCGUGAUCGGUUGACCCUAAAACUUCUUUCUUCUUCGACAGCCUCAAGUAGUUCUUGGCUGUUACAAUCAGCAGGAAGAACAAAAUCAAACAACAUAAUCAAAUAAAACAACUUUCAAUAAAUUUUUGAGCAGAUUAAACUAAACAGUCAAACCUGCCAGGGUCCUUCAAGCUGAUGGGCCGCCAGCACAUGGGGCACUGGGAGCUCCUUUGGCACCUGAAUCAACAUACAAACUAUUAUGGUGGAAAGUGCAUAGAAAAUCACAUAAAGAGAAGGAACAUAGAAGUUGGUAUAAAACCAUAUUAGAGAAUAGGGGAUCCAUGAGGAAAAGAAAUGAAAAUUUAAGAGGAAAGUGCUAGAGUUAUCAAGAAAUUAUAAUAACAAAGACAUUUUCAGCCGUUAAAUUCAGUUAACUUUCUGGAUGAAGCACUAAAAAUCCAUAACUAACAGCAAACGUUAAUCCCAUCCUCGAAGACAAGCAAAUAAAUUUGAAGAACUAAGGUAACUCGGACAUCUCAUGUCACCAGAAUUUCUCCACAGCAAACUAGAAAUGCCUAGAAUGAAACUGCCAUCAAAUACAAAAGAAAAAGGCCACAGUGAGGCAGAGAAUACCAUUCGAGAAUGCAUUGCAGAUGAAACUCAUGCUUGCAACUAGUCACCUGGGGGAUCAGCAAAAUGUUUGCAAUUCACGAACAAUCUAAUUUAAAUAUCAGAAAGGGGGAAACAUAAUGAUAAAAAUUGAAGUAGAACUCGAAAGAAACCACACCGUUGAGGGAUCACUCUCGCAGAACUCUUCGAGACAAAUGCUGCAAGCAUCAUCACAGGCAUCUUGAAUGCCCCCUUCGACAAAGGCGGCGGCCGACGACAAGUGGCUCUCCAUCUUCGCGGUCUCCUCCAUCCUAGGAUUCGCCCCUACCUCAUAAUAUUAUUUCCAAGAUAAAUCGACUUAGACAAGGAAAUAAACAAAACUAAACAUAGAAUUGGUGGAAGGAAUCAUACUUAGAUGUUAUAUCCCAAAAACGACCAAGCAAAUUAAUCAACAAACCCAACAAACAUCCGCCGAACUCGAUCAAAAGAAUAAAAGCGGCGCCUUUACCAAAGAAGAAUAACGCAGCGGUACUAAGUUAAACCCUGAAAAUCGAACGUGCACACCAAUCGACACGUACGCGGACGGCGAGGGGGAAUAAUCUAGGAAAUUACACAAACUGAAAUAAAGAAACACCAAAUCGAUUGAGCGCCGGGAAGAAGGGGAAAUAGCAAGCGAUCGUGAACAAAAACUGAUACUAAAAACGAAGGAGAAAAGGAAAAAUAUCACGAAAUGGAGGGGAGAAAGGAGAUCGACGCGUACCUUCGAGGGAUUGAACAAGGUUUAGGGUUAAAGGAUCGGAUGAUCGGGAUCUUUCAAGGGAUGCGGAGCUCGGAAUCCAUUGAAGCGGCAACGAUGCGAAGCGAGGAGAGGGGAAAAGGGGACCCCGUCUCUCUCUCUCCCCCCUCUCUCUCUCUCUCUCUCUUCUUCGUCGAAAUGGUAUGGGGGAUUUGUUCGCGUUUUUUUUUGUGGUCGUAACCCUAAUUAUUCCUCUGCCGUUCGGAGGGAGAUCACGACCACUGUUGGUAUACGGCGGGAAAAAAGUCGGCUAGACCCGGUCUAUCACGUCUACCACGGACCGCAGUUGACCUUGGCAAACGGGCCUGUUUAUGGACCGGGCCUAAUUUGGGCCGAGUUUUAUUGUUUUUUUGAUGUUUGAACCCGACCCGGUUUGAAAUUUGGGUCGCUAAUUUAGGCUCGCAACUGGUCCAAAAUGACCCAGGCCAUUAUACGACCUGAUCAAGCAUGCCCUACGGCGCGUGAUUGGUGCUAGGGGUGGAAAUGAGCCAAGCUUGAGCGAGCUUAUCUUAACUCAAGAUUGGCUUGAAAUUAAUUUCAAAAUUAAAUUUAAGCUCAAGCUCGGUUUGAAUUAAUUGGAGCCGAGGUCAAGCGAGCCCAAUUUCGAUUUGAGCAAGCUUGAGCCCUAAACGAGCUGCUUGAAAUUCUUAACAUUACGCAAUGUAUAAUCUAAUUUUUAGAUAAAUAUGUCUAAUAGUUUAACAUACAAAAUAAAACGUAUGAAUACAAAAUUAUAUAUGAAGAAAAAAAAUUAGAGAAAUCAAUUAUGCGACCAAAAUGGAAAAGAGGGGGGAGAGAGAGUAAUUAGAAUAGGGAUUUGCUUGUUUGGUUUUAUAGGCCAGCAAAUAUGCCCAAUAAUCAAAAUUCUAUAUAAAUAUAAUUAAAAUAAAUAAUAUAAAUUAUAUAUUAUAUAUAAUUAUUAAUUGGGCCGGAAUGCUUGUAAAUAGCAUUAGCAUUAGACGAUGAGAAAAUACCUUAUUUGUUUCCGUAUGUAAUAUUGCGUUCCGCAUAUUGCAGUUAGUCGGUUACGAUAUAUUUUCUGUGAUUCCAUCGAAAAACGCAGAAGCAUAUCCCUACACGCUCUCCCUACAUGCUUUUUCUCAACUCUAUUCUGUCUAAUAGCGUUAGAUCCAUCUCAAUACCAAACUAAGCAUAAGUCGUUGGUGUUAUUAAGUUUUUGGGCGGUGAAGAUGAUAGUAGUCCUUAUGGCACACACACGAGCUUUUCGAGCCUAAUUCGAGUGAGCCUGGUAAUGUAUCAAGCUCUGCUUGAAAUAAAAAAAAAAUAAAAAAUAAAAAAAAAUUGCUUAAGCUCGAUUUAUUUAAUUCCGAAUCGAGCGCGAGUGAGCUGAAUACCGAGCUGGCUUACUCAUUCGCCGGCCCUUGUUGGUGUUGAGGGUGAGGUAGAGCAUAUACAAAUAUACUUUUCUAUCCCCCGUGGGACAGUCAACCCCUAAGAACUCUUUUAUUGUUACCGGCCUUUAUCGUAUAAAAUGAAAAGUUUCAAUUGGAUUCCAGCAGAAUCUGAGCUGACAGAAUUUAAGCCGAGUUAUUUUUCGGAUGGUUUAAUUGAACCUUCAAUAUAGGAGUAUGCGAUAGUCCAAUCCCCAACUUUUUACUUGCACCGUACUAGACAAUGGUGGUGUGUUAUAAGUACCUUAUUUAAAAAGAGAUAAUAUAUCAAAAGAAACCGACUGUUCCUAGAGCAGAUGGUAAUGGACUUGAUAGUUGGUAUCCGAGAUCCCAAGUUCAAAUUUUAGUUAAUUCACAUUUACAAUUAAAUUUAUUUCUAAAUAAAAUAAACGAAACAAAAAAAAUGAAAAUAAUAUAUCGAAAGAGACCAACUCCUACCACUGUUUUAUUCUGCGAGUCCGACUAAGACUAGUGCUAUUAGAAAUAUUUUACUAUAAUUUUUAUUUUUCUUGUUUUACUAAUUUUACAGCAAGAAUCAAAAAUUAUUAUUAUUAUUAUUAUUAUUAUUACAAUAAAUAGGCCCCAAAAGUCAUAAUUUUUGGUGUGACGCUGUUGACUGGGCAAAUGGCUGGUUUGACUCAUUUAAAGCUUCUACAUACGAGCUCAUUGAAUAGUGUUCCCACGAGCCACUGCUCCAUGUCAGAUCUGUGUACAAUUCCAUUGGCUUUUUGUUCAUAAAGUGAUCGUACAAGUGCAGCAGAAUUUUCUUCGUUUGGGAGUAAUCAGAUUUGGUUUGGCAUGUGAUUAGAAUUUGAUGCCCAAAAUAGACAAAAGGGCAUUUACAAAAGGAGUAGUUGAUUCGAUGUUGUCUUAGUUUGGAUUUGAUGCUUAAACAUAUUUUAUUCUACAUAUCUCGAUUGGAUGCUAAAAAAUAUUUUAUUCUACGCAUUUUUUUUAAAACAAAACAUAAUAUUUGAUGAGUAGAAAAAAUAAUUAAAUGCCCAGUAUUGUAUAUUCAGUCUUCAAACUCAAUUUUUUAAAAUUAUCCCUAACACAAUUCUCUAAAAGUUUUAAGUUUCAAGUUCACAUUUCUAACUUAGUUUAUUUUAAAAAAUAAAAUAAGUAACUUGGCUACUUUUAUCUAAAAAGAUAAUGAUUAAAAUUGGCUGGGAAUAAUUUUUUCUCUAAUUUUUACUCAAAAAAAAAGAAUUAAAAAAAUUAAGUUCUUUAACUUGCAAUCACAAUAAAAGAAUUUUCGUACCAACUCAUAUCAAACCAUUUUAGCGUUCAGAUUAAGAUUGGCUAUGUUGUCACCUGAAAGGGACAAUAAGAACACCAACAUCACCAACGCAUAUCAAUUAAGACUUACAUGGACAUUUGCAAUAUUUCCAGCUUUAUAGAAAUAUAACAAUAUGAUUCUUCGAUGACUUUUUUUUUUCAUGAUUCUGUGGACAUGGAUGUAAUAGAUUCGUUCAGAAAAUGUUCAUUUGAUCAUCUAAAUUGAAAGCACAAGUUUGGUACGUAAACUUCUUUGAUAAUAGUCGCAGACUUAUAUAAACUAUAAUCCUUAUCCACAAUUCAUAUCACAAAAAGACCGACCGUUUCUAGAGUAAGUGAAAAAAGAUUUGGUGGUUGGUAUUCGAGACCCAAAUUCGAAUGAUAAAUGAUUCACAUUUCUAGCUAAGCUUAUUUCUAAAUAAAAUAAACGAAACGAAAAAAUUGCUACCUAUUUCUAUAUAUAUAUAUAUAUAUAUAUAUAUAUAUAUAUAUACCACAACGAGUGAAAAUUGUAAGAAAAAAAACAGAAUGUGGGGCCUAAAAUGUGUAUAAUGCAGGCCCACAAAAAUUUAGUCUAAUCAUGCAUAGUAUAAAUUUACAAACACACAAACAAAUUACUCAGAAUUUUUUUGCAAUCUGUUGCAUUUCUCUUAACUUUAUUAUCCAUACGAUGAUUUAGAGCUUGUGUAUCUCGUACAUAGACACCUUUAGAUCACACGAUUAUUCACUCAGAUGUAAUAAAAAUUUCUAUACACACAAUCGAAAUGACGAAUAAUAAGAUAAAAUAUACAAUUAUGGAGAUGAGAAUUGAUAAGAUAUUUUGCCAAAAUAAAUUUUACUAUUAUCAAAACAGAGAAAUAUAACUAUUUUGAUAAUAUUAAAAUCUAUGUUUUUUGACAACAUUAAUUUCCAUUUAGAAUAGAAAGAUUUUUUUUUUUUUGUGAGGAGCAAAAACCUCAAGGAAAAAAAAAAAAAAGAAAAAAAAAUCCGAAACGAAACCGUUACCGUUCGUCCUCCACCUGCGACGGGCUCCGCCAGAACCCGGCGCCGUAGAAUCUCUUCCACAUCUCCUUCUCGGUUUCGGACGCCUCCUCCUCCGCCCCCGUCGCCGCCUCCGCUUGGUGGAGGUGGAGAUAGAACUCGACCCCGUCCUUCUCCGCCGCCGCGGCCGCGUCGCCUCCGCCUCUGCGUUCGGGGGCGGCGGCGAGGAGCCCCGGCGCUCUGGCCCUCCUCCGCCGCGCCGCCCUCGCCCUCAUCGCGCGGCGGCAGAGCCCCGCGGGGAGCCUCACCACGGCGGUGACGACGAGGUCGACCACCGCGCAGGGGCAGCAGCAGCACACCGCCGCGCACCCCGCCGCCGUCCCCCCCGCCGCCUCCCCGAUCCGCCGCCGCGCGCUCGGCCGCGGCCCCGCCACCGCCGCCUCCUUCAGUAUCACCGGUUGCCUCCUCCUCGCCUGCACCGCCGCCGCCGCCGCCGACGACGACGACGACGACGACGCCGCGGGGGCCCCCCUUCGCCCCAUCAGAUGCCGCGCGAUCCCAUCGUCGAGAUUGAAAGAGGGGAAAAGUGGAAGGGUUUCGAUCGAUCCUUAGAACCCGGAAGAACCGUCGCGAAGAUUCCGGAACGAUCCGCGAGAUCGUCGCUGAGAAGGCGAGAACGCACGAGAGGGAAACGGAAGCCGUUACCGGAAACGGGAUUUGGUUGGAUUGUGUCGAACGCUGCUUCUCGCGUCUUUUGCGUUCCAAAGAAGAGACCAUAAUUAUUGCAUAGACCGUGGUCCGUACACCGCAUAUUUCAAAAACUUUUAAUCUAUAGAGCAUAAAAUUUGUAACUCUUUGCACCAAAAAUAACCGUCCCUAAAGUAAGUCGCAAAAGGCUUAAUGGUUCAUACCCGAGAUCCACAGUUCGAAUCUUAAUUGAUUCACAUUUUUUGCUAAAUUUAUUUCUAAAUGAAAUAAACGAUGCGGGUAGCGUCCAAUGAAAAUUCCCGAAAUUCUAUAGAAUUAAAACUUUAAUUUUAUUUAUUAAAAUUUAAAACUAUUUGGUUCUGUAAGUUAAUAAGAAUUUAAGUAAUUUAAAAGAAUCUGACUUCAUAAAAUGACUUUCAUCCUUUUCACAUAAUUUUAAAUCGAAUUGGUGAGGUCAUUUGCUAUUUAGUUAAUUAUUAUUUACAAAAAUAGCUAUAAAAUCUCUCAAAUUAUGUAAAUCAUAAUAAAAUUAUAUUAAAAUAAGUUUUCAUAAUUUACCAAACAAGGCAAAUAGAAUAGAAUUUUGUGGACCUCCAAUUUAGAUUUAGUACCAAAACGAGAAUUAAAAAUUUGUAUUGUAAAGUAACAAUAAUUCUAUACCCAGAUAGAAAAUAUAUACUAAUAUGGAUAUGGUCGCAUCAGAUGCAAAGUAAAAUUAUGAACCGCUCCUCUUCCUUACCAUUUCGCCGGAAUCCGACAACUCCUUCACUAUGUAGAUCUUAAAAUCAUUUGCAUAAUGAAAACAGUGAAGUUAGUUGUUUAGAUAAAGACAUCUCUAAUAAAAUACUGGUGGACGACCUAUAUAAUGAUUUAGUUUCUCACUAUGACUAAAAAAUUAGACAUAAGCUCUGAUAAAAAAAAUUAACAGUAUAAAAAAUCAUCAAAUGAAAAUUCUAGCUUAAUAUGUAGGAUCAAAUCGAGAGGAAUAGAGGUGCCAACCGCGGCAAAGUUGCCGAUUUUAACACACUUUUUACAGACCAGUAUUGUCUAAGUAAUGAAAUUAAUUUUUAAAAUAAAAUAUAAUAUAUCUGCGGACUUUGUAGAAAUUUUGCUCUCGGUCUAUAGAUUUUUUUCCAACGCAGAAAUUACCAGGAAAAAGGGUGUGGGCCCGCCGGCCCUGCUGACGUAAGAAUUACGUGGCACCAAUGGCCCUGAGGGCUCCACGUGUCGAAUCUGGUUCAAUUGGCAACAACUAGGAGUUCCGUUGGGCUGGGCCGUACUAGGCCCGAACUACAACCUUGAUUUUAGAUCUAAAUAAAUACAGUGCGGAAACUUUUUUUUUUUUUUCCUGAUUCCAAAAAGCCAAUAGAAAGCUUAGAAAUACGCAAUCAAUUCACUUAAAGUAUACAGAUACAGCACCCACGAGUUUCGAUUGUGACUUGAUCCAAUUAGCCUCAUGCCACUUCGAACAUGACUCCGCCCACCCAGUCUCAUGCAUUUCGAACACGACUCGACCCAACAUGACCUCCCGCCACAGGGCGGGAUGCUGGCCCAUUUAAGCCAACAAAUCACACCACUUUAAUUAUAUCUUGUCAAUCAAAUAUUAUUUAAACUGAAAAAUAUGAUAAAAAUAUUUGUUUAUAAAUUAUGAUAGGAUAGAUAAAUUAUAAGAAAAGAUUAUGAUUGGUUGGGACACGCCGCGUAGAAUAUGUGAAUGACAUAUUGUAGAUUUUUUUCUGCAAAGCAAGGCUUGCGUCUUUCCCGGUAUUAAUCUUAUUUUGUGGUUCAGCGAGUCUAGAAUGUAGCAGGACUCAAUAUAGUGUCUGAUCGAAGUGGGAGGGGCUCAAAAAUGAACUUAUAUUUUAAAUCUUCUGCAGAGCAAAUACGUUAUAGGAUUAUAUAAUAAUAAUGUCCAUUUUAAUAUUAUCCUAGCGCAAGUGGCAAAUGGCUUGGUGGUUGAAAUCCGAAAUUCUAAGUUCGAAUCCUAGUUGAUUCACAUUUCCAGCUAAGUUUAUUUAUAAAUGAAAUAAGCAAAGCAGGUAGAAUGCUACUUAUCUCUAAGAAAAAUAAUAAGGAAUAAAUUUUUUUAAAAUAAAGUUAUUUG
This 16977-nucleotide long non-coding RNA is filed under the name Ananas comosus (pineapple). Its description in RNAcentral is "long non-coding RNA (ACOM_LNC011497)". Lineage: Eukaryota; Viridiplantae; Streptophyta; Magnoliopsida; Poales; Bromeliaceae. The record is from RNAcentral.